This 313-nucleotide small nuclear RNA is filed under the name Chinchilla lanigera (long-tailed chinchilla). RNAcentral's name for it is "7SK RNA (ENSCLAG00000021984.1)". It matches the Rfam family "7SK RNA". From Rfam's summary of the family: 7SK was discovered as an abundant small nuclear RNA in the mid-70s but a possible function has only recently been suggested. Lineage: Eukaryota; Metazoa; Chordata; Mammalia; Rodentia; Chinchillidae. The record is from RNAcentral.
GGAUGUGAGAGCUAUCUGGCUGUGACAUCUGUUACCCCAUUGAUCGCCAGGGUUGAUUCGGCUGAUCUGGCUGGCUAGGCAGGUGUCCCCUUCCACCCUCAACGCUCCGUGUGUGUCCCUCCCAAAGCUGCGCGCUAGGUCCAAGAGGAUGACCAUCCCAGAUAGAGGAGGACCGUUCCUUGGUCAAGGGUAUACAAAUAGCUGCACUCCCCUGCUAGAACCUCCAAACAAGCUCUCAAGGCAUAUUUUACUAACAUAAUGGUCUCUAGUUCCAUCCCUGUUGUUGCAAAUGACAAGAUUUUGAUCCUUUUUA